GCCUUGGUGGUGUAAUGGUCAGCACACUGAGCCGGUAUUUCAGAGGUCCGUGGUUCGAUCCCCAGCGAAGGCA
RNAcentral lists this transfer RNA (73 nucleotides) under Stegodyphus mimosarum. It matches the Rfam family "tRNA". Rfam says of the family: Transfer RNA (tRNA) molecules are approximately 80 nucleotides in length. Their secondary structure includes four short double-helical elements and three loops (D, anti-codon, and T loops). Further hydrogen bonds mediate the characteristic L-shaped molecular structure. tRNAs have two regions of fundamental functional importance: the anti-codon, which is responsible for specific mRNA codon recognition, and the 3' end, to which the tRNAs corresponding amino acid is attached (by aminoacyl-tRNA synthetases). tRNAs cope with the degeneracy of the genetic code in two manners: having more than one tRNA (with a specific anti-codon) for a particular amino acid; and 'wobble' base-pairing, i.e. permitting non-standard base-pairing at the 3rd anti-codon position. The record is from Rfam by way of RNAcentral. Lineage: Eukaryota; Metazoa; Arthropoda; Arachnida; Araneae; Eresidae.